RNAcentral lists this long non-coding RNA (499 nucleotides) under Homo sapiens (human). RNAcentral describes it as "novel transcript, antisense to BTBD1". The record is from RNAcentral. Lineage: Eukaryota; Metazoa; Chordata; Mammalia; Primates; Hominidae.
UGAGGCAGGAGAAUUGCUUAGAACCCGGGAGGCGGAGGUUGUAGUGAGCCGAGAUUGUGCCACUGCACUCCAGCCUGGCAAUAGAGUGAAACUCUGUCUCAAAAAAAAAAAAAGCAUUUAGGAGAUUGACCUGGGUCAAUUCUUUUUUCUUUUUGUCCCCUUUCCUCAGAUGUUCUGAAGGUUGGAAAUAUGACUUACUACCAUUACCUAACAGUUAUUUCUUCUUCUUUCCUAGUUAAUACAACCUGAUUUCAUUUGGGCCACAACAUGUACAAAGAAGGAAUACCUGUCCCCAGGCCUCAGAGAAAAGUCAUGAUUGAUUGAAGCUUAGCCCGUUCCCCUGCUAGAGAUUGCUUCUGAACUCAGCAUGUGGCCAAUUAUGGCCAAUGAGAUGGAAGAGUCUGGAAGCAGGCUUUUGGAAAGAUUCUUGUAGCCUAGUUAAAGAUAAAAUCCCGGAAAGGGAAAAGCCUUGUGUUGACAAGCUUAAGAGUGAAAAACC